This 350-nucleotide unclassified non-coding RNA is filed under the name soil metagenome. Its description in RNAcentral is "partial contains 5.8S ribosomal RNA, internal transcribed spacer 2, and large subunit ribosomal RNA". The stretch from base 1 to 120 matches the Rfam family "5.8S ribosomal RNA", at positions 35 to 154 of the family's 154-position model. The record is from RNAcentral.
GAUGAAGAACGUAGCGAAAUGCGAUAAGUAAUGUGAAUUGCAGAAUUCAGUGAAUCAUCGAAUCUUUGAACGCACAUUGCGCCCGCGAGUAUUCUCGCGGGCAUGCCUGUCCGAGCGUCAUUUCAACCCUCAGGGCCCGCCUGCUUGCAGGCGCGGCGCUGGUGUUGGGGAUCGGCUACCCUGCCGUCCCCCAAAUACAGUGGCGGUCUCGCUGCAGCCUCCCCUGCGUAGUAGCAACACUCGCAUGCGGAGCGCGGCGCGGCCACGCCGUAAAACCCCCGACUUUCUGAACGUUGACCUCGGAUCAGGUAGGAAUACCCGCUGAACUUAAGCAUAUCAAUAGCGGAGGA